UACAGAGGUCUCAAGCGUUGUUCGGAUUCAUUGGGCGUAAAGGGUGCGUAGGUGGCGGGGUAAGUCGGGUGUGAAAUCUCGGAGCUUAACUCCGAAACUGCAUUCGAUACUGCCGUGCUUGAGGACUGGAGAGGAGACUGGAAUUUACGGUGUAGCGGUGAAAUGCGUAGAUAUCGUAAGGAAGACCAGUGGCGAAGGCGGGUCUCUGGACAGUUCCUGACGCUGAGGCACGAAGGCCAGGGGAGCAAACGGG
RNAcentral lists this ribosomal RNA (253 nucleotides) under uncultured bacterium. RNAcentral describes it as "partial 16S ribosomal RNA". It matches the Rfam family "Bacterial small subunit ribosomal RNA", at positions 524 to 776 of the family's 1533-position model. The record is from RNAcentral.